RNAcentral lists this non-coding RNA (98 nucleotides) under Paenibacillus sp. Its description in RNAcentral is "Glycine sequence". It matches the Rfam family "Glycine riboswitch aptamer". From Rfam's summary of the family: This family represents the bacterial glycine riboswitch. Glycine riboswitches usually consist of two metabolite-binding aptamers domains with similar structures in tandem. Lineage: Bacteria; Bacillati; Bacillota; Bacilli; Caryophanales; Paenibacillaceae. The record is from RNAcentral. RNAcentral also lists the same sequence under 1 other name.
AUGAAAGUACAGGGAGAGACUGUUCAGAACCAUAACAGCGCCGAAGGAGUAAGCCAGUAAUGGUGAAUCUCUCAGGUAAAAGGGACCUGUACCGGACG